UCUAUGGCCAUGCUACCCUGAAUGUGCCCAAUCUCAUCUGAUCUCAGAAGCUUAGCACAGUUGGUCCAGGUUAGUACUUAGUACUCGGAUGGGAGAAAAGGCUUCUAUUAGAG
This is a ribosomal RNA of Bison bison bison, 113 nucleotides long. Lineage: Eukaryota; Metazoa; Chordata; Mammalia; Artiodactyla; Bovidae. The record is from Ensembl.